ACCACAACUUUUUUUUUUUGUGAACAGCUACAUUUAAUAUCUAAAAGGGCCUAGGCCCAUGUCAACCCAGAACUGGGCUUAAUGCAGAGAAAAUUCCAUGGAUGUCACACACGAUUCCAUGGAUUUCCUUCACCUGUAAAUCAUGAUCGAUAGCUCUAAUGAGCUUUAAGUUGUCGGAGAACAUCCUGAGAGUUGGGUUAUGAUGGCGAGUCGCAUUGCUAAAGCUUCCGCCAUUAGAGGAGAGUCUACGAAGCCUUGGGAGCUCGAUCCUUGGAGAGGACGAUUGAAUCCUCUUCCUGAGAAGAUCCAAGCGAGACCAGCCUGCUUCAAUUGUUUGUUCCACGCCACAAUCAGUUUUGCAUGUUGUUUCUGAUUCUUCGAUGUUCCUCGGUUCUUUGUCAGAUCCGGAUUAGACGAUUUUGCUUCGAAGAUCAAGGAGUUUCUGGCUACUACUGGAAGUAAUUUUUCAUUAAAAAAAAAUCUUAAUAGUUGUACAGAAACUUUAAAUAAAACUAUAGUACAAUUGCUUCAAA
This is a long non-coding RNA of Brassica napus (rape), 533 nucleotides long. RefSeq lists it as uncharacterized. The transcript is spliced from 2 exons. NCBI's taxonomy places the organism in Eukaryota, Viridiplantae, Streptophyta, Magnoliopsida, Brassicales, Brassicaceae. The record is from RefSeq and is a predicted model, not a curated record.